AUGGGGGAUAAGCUUCAUCGUUGGGAGGGAAACAACCCGGAUCACCAGCUAAGGCCCCUAAAUGACUGCUCAGUGAUAAAGGAGGUGGGGGUGCAGAGACAACCAGGAGGGGAGCAUUCCGCCUUAGAGGGAAGCAACCGCGAAAGCGAGGGUCGACGAAGCGGAAGCGAGAAUGUCGGCUUGAGUAACGAAAACAAUGGUGAGAAUCCAAUGCCCCGAAAACCCAAGGUUUCCUCCGCAAGCUUAGGUGGAAGGCGAAGAAGGCCCCCUUCCGAGGGGGCCCGAGCCAUCAGUGAGAUACCACUCUGGAAGAGCUCGGAUUCUAACCUUGUGUCGGACUCGCGGGCCAAGGGACAGUCUCAGGUAAAUAGUUUCUAUGGGGCGUAG
This 387-nucleotide ribosomal RNA is filed under the name Triticum aestivum (bread wheat). RNAcentral's name for it is "partial small subunit ribosomal RNA". It matches the Rfam family "Bacterial large subunit ribosomal RNA", at positions 991 to 1523 of the family's 2925-position model. Lineage: Eukaryota; Viridiplantae; Streptophyta; Magnoliopsida; Poales; Poaceae. The record is from RNAcentral.